GAUGAACGCUGACAGAAUGCUUAACACAUGCAAGUCGAUGGGGAAGUGGUGCUUGCACCAUGGUAACCAUGGCGGACGGGUGGGUAACGCGUAAGGAACUUACCUGCGGGACCGGGAUAACAGCAGGAAACUGCUGACAAGACCGGAUAAGGUCAUUAAGCUGCAUAGCUUAGUGAUGAAAGGAGACGCCUGCGGAGAGCCUUGCGUCCUAUUAGCUAGUUGGAGGGGUAACGGCCCACCAAGGCGAAGAUAGGUAGCCGGCCUGAGAGGGUGGACGGCCACAAGGGGACUGAGAUACGGCCCUUACUCCUACGGGAGGCAGCAGUGGUGAAUAUUGGACAAUAGGGGCAACCCUGAUCCAGCAAUUCUGUGUGCACGAAGACGGUUUUCGGAUUGUAAAGUGCUUUCAGCAGGGAAGAAGGAAGUGACGGUACCUGCAGAAGAAGCGACGGCUAAAUACGUG
RNAcentral lists this ribosomal RNA (463 nucleotides) under uncultured bacterium. Its description in RNAcentral is "partial 16S ribosomal RNA". It matches the Rfam family "Bacterial small subunit ribosomal RNA", at positions 28 to 507 of the family's 1533-position model. The record is from RNAcentral.